Molecule: ribosomal RNA, 718 nt
Filed under: uncultured bacterium
Lineage: Bacteria
Description: bacterial SSU rRNA
Rfam family: Bacterial small subunit ribosomal RNA
Source: RNAcentral
GGCGGACGGGUGAGUAACACGUGGGUAACCUGCCCAAGAGACUGGGAUAACACCUGGAAACAGAUGCUAAUACCGGAUAACAACACUAGACGCAUGUCUAGAGUUUGAAAGAUGGUUCUGCUAUCACUCUUGGAUGGACCUGCGGUGCAUUAGCUAGUUGGUAAGGUAACGGCUUACCAAGGCAAUGAUGCAUAGCCGAGUUGAGAGACUGAUCGGCCACAUUGGGACUGAGACACGGCCCAAACUCCUACGGGAGGCAGCAGUAGGGAAUCUUCCACAAUGGACGAAAGUCUGAUGGAGCAACGCCGCGUGAGUGAAGAAGGGUUUCGGCUCGUAAAGCUCUGUUGGUAGUGAAGAAAGAUAGAGGUAGUAACUGGCCUUUAUUUGACGGUAAUUACUUAGAAAGUCACGGCUAACUACGUGCCAGCAGCCGCGGUAAUACGUAGGUGGCAAGCGUUGUCCGGAUUUAUUGGGCGUAAAGCGAGUGCAGGCGGUUCAAUAAGUCUGAUGUGAAAGCCUUCGGCUCAACCGGAGAAUUGCAUCAGAAACUGUUGAACUUGAGUGCAGAAGAGGAGAGUGGAACUCCAUGUGUAGCGGUGGAAUGCGUAGAUAUAUGGAAGAACACCAGUGGCGAAGGCGGCUCUCUGGUCUGCAACUGACGCUGAGGCUCGAAAGCAUGGGUAGCGAACAGGAUUAGAUACCCUGGUAGUCCAUGCCG